CACAACAUUAAGUCUGCUCUAAUGUUUCAGUUUGGAAGAAUUACCGAGCAAAUUGAGAGGCCUAGUCAGAAAUGUAAAGAAAGUAGAAGCUGAAAUAGCAGCUUUGAAGAUUUCAUACCUCAAGAAAAUCAACAAAGGCUCUAACAUCAUCAUUAUGGAUUCAUACUCUGAUUCAGCCAAAAUAGUUGCAAGAACACUAACAAGUCUUGGGUUCAAAAACUGCUGGAUUGUGGCUGAUGGGUUUUCUGGGAGCAGAGGGUGGUUGCAGAGUCGAUUAGGAACAGAUUCGUCUAAUUCAUUUAUCGCAGAGGUUCUUUCGCCAUCACGGAUCAUCCCCUCUGCCAAACGGUUUGGUACAACAAAGUUUCUUCCAGAGUGAAAGAAAAAUUGUGUAUGAAAACAAGAAUGUUUGAAUGUGCAUUGUUAGGUUAGAUUAUUACAGUCUCUUGUUGGAAUUUGCCUCACUGCUAUUCUUCUUGUUAAUGUGAGUUUAUUGAUCUUUUCUUGAAAUUGAAUGUGCAAAAGAAGCUAGAAAGGAGGCUUAUUUUAAGCCAAUAA
Non-coding RNA from Carica papaya (papaya), 558 nucleotides. The record is from RefSeq and is a predicted model, not a curated record. NCBI's taxonomy places the organism in Eukaryota, Viridiplantae, Streptophyta, Magnoliopsida, Brassicales, Caricaceae.